AAGUCGUAACAAGGUUUCCGUAGGUGAACCUGCGGAAGGAUCAUUAACAAAUUCCAUUUAUUUGGAUUUUAACAAUCCAUCCACCUUAUGUGCACUGUAAUUGUCUCUGGCGGUUUACUUGCUAUGAGUGAGUGGGAGACUCGUUUCCUACCUUGCUUGUAGUCGGUGGCCGUCGCUGGGAACUUGUUCCCAUUGAUAAACUUUACUUUAACAUUGACUAAAUAUGUUUUUAAAAUAAUAAAAACAACUUUUGACAACGGAUCUCUUGGCUCUC
Molecule: unclassified non-coding RNA, 274 nt
Filed under: fungal sp.
Lineage: Eukaryota; Fungi
Also listed under: 1 other name
Description: partial internal transcribed spacer region
Rfam family: Eukaryotic small subunit ribosomal RNA (bases 1-46)
Source: RNAcentral